Long non-coding RNA from Nematostella vectensis (starlet sea anemone), 1703 nucleotides. RefSeq lists it as uncharacterized. The record is from RefSeq and is a predicted model, not a curated record. Lineage: Eukaryota; Metazoa; Cnidaria; Anthozoa; Actiniaria; Edwardsiidae. The transcript has 3 exons.
CGCUCAAAUUUGCAUAUUUUGCAUUUUAUUUGAUUGUGUUAUAUGUAACUCUUUGAUUCAUUCAUUAGCCAACUGCACUACCUUGUUUGACUCUCAGUUCUCAGCUAUGACUUGGUUUACUUUAAGGAUUCCUUGCCCGAUAUCUGACUGCCCAAACAACGCCAAGAUGAUUAACUGGGUCUGUGCAACUGACAAGACAACAAUGCAAGUUUGCGAGCAAGGUCGUUUGAGGUGCUCGCGCUGUUUUAGUCCUCACGAGGACCAAAUUGUGAAGUGGAAGUUCGACUGCGGAGACCGUAUAGGGCCACAUCGUAACGAACACUAUUUAUACGCGGACUUCGAGGGCUUUGCACACGCUAUGGCCAUUGGAGUCGCGCAUUUGUCAGAAGCAGGGGCGGCUUGGGUCACGAAACUGGUGGUGGAGGUUGAAAGACAAUACAAGCCUUAGCAUCCAGACUCUAUUCUCAGUCUUAUGACAUUAUAAAGUUUAUCAAUCGGAUUGUGAAUGUAGUAAAAUGUGUUGUUCAUGAAAGUCGUUUCUUCUUAUUUUUGACGGCGAGUCGAACAAUCAAGAAUAUUAUUAAUUUGACUGAGCGUUAGGUUUCAAUAAUGCUCACACCGGUUGUAUGCUUCAUAAGAUGAUUUUUGAAAAAUGCAUCCAAAAUACUAUUAUCUUUCCGUGAGAUAUGAAGACUUGAAAAAAGCAAAGAACAGGUACUUUCCCUUCGCACGAAGAGCAAAAUAAUGAGGAAAUUUCCCUGUUCGCACCGCCAAUCAGCGUUCGAUCUAUUAGACAUUCAAUAGUACAAUACACUCCUGUCAAUCAAAGUUGAAAUCAAUUCUUGGAAGUGGCGUUUUGACCAGGAGUGCAGAUUAAACUAUCGUUUGCCGCUCGGAGAAGUAUUCGAUCCACUGUUCAGCUAAAAGUUCACAAGAAUUUACAAGAAUGGGGAAUAGCGUGACUUGGUAUCAGCUAAAAAUGCCUUGUCCCAUCAAAGGCUGCCCAAACAGUGAAAGGUGCUUGGACUGGGUUUGCUCCGCUGACGGCUACACCAUGUACGUUUGCGAGAAAGGUCGACUGUCAUGUGGCGGGUCACAUGACGCGGAGAUAGUGAACUGGAAAUUUGACUGUGGGGAUCGGGACGGUCCACACAAAAAUGUCCACUUUUUGUACGCUGAUCUUGAAGGCUUCGCGCACGCUAUGGCAAUCGGGGUUGCACAUCUCAAUAGAGCAGGUGCUGACUGGGUGAAGCAGUUAGUCGAUGAAGUGGAGAGACAGUACAAGAGGUGAUACCGAGAGACAACUAUAACUCCCCCCGGUGGCCCCCCUAGGGUGGUCUGCGUCGGUUUAGGUUUUUGGCCAGACCAGUGGUCUGCGCCGGUUUAGGUUUUUGGCCAGACCAGUGGUCUGCGUCGUAUAUUUUAGUCGCCACGACUAGAAACAAAAUCACUUAAAAAUACUUUUUGAUUGUGUAGAUUACACAAUUACACAACAACUAUGGAUUAAUAGAGAAUUAUUAAGAAAAUAAUUAAAAGUGGAAGCAGUCGUGAUUAUUAAGACUAGAAAUAGUAAUUAGAUAUAAAAAGUAGUUAGACAUAUAAAAACUAAAAUUACUGCAAAAGGGAGCCCGCGUGCAUAAAGAACUAUCACAUCAGUCGAGUGUUCAUCUUUUGUUAUCAAUAAAAUCGGCGAAAUGAUGGUA